This 550-nucleotide ribosomal RNA is filed under the name uncultured bacterium. RNAcentral's name for it is "bacterial SSU rRNA". It matches the Rfam family "Bacterial small subunit ribosomal RNA", at positions 777 to 1329 of the family's 1533-position model. The record is from RNAcentral.
AAUAGAUACCCCGGUAGUCCAUGCCGUAAACGUUGGGAACUAGAUGUGGGGACCAUUCCACGGUCUCCGUGUCGCAGCUAACGCAUUAAGUUCCCCGCCUGGGGAGUACGGCCGCAAGGCUAAAACUCAAAGGAAUUGACGGGGGCCCGCACAAGCGGCGGAGCAUGCGGAUUAAUUCGAUGCAACGCGAAGAACCUUACCAAGGCUUGACAUAUACCGGAAAGGUCUGGAAACAGUCCCCCCGCAAGGUCGGUAUACAGGUGGUGCAUGGUUGUCGUCAGCUCGUGUCGUGAGAUGUUGGGUUAAGUCCCGCAACGAGCGCAACCCUCGUCUUAUGUUGCCAGCGGUUCGGCCGGGGACUCAUAAGAGACUGCCGGGGUCAACUCGGAGGAAGGUGGGGAUGAGGUCAAAUCAUCAUGCCCCUUAUGUCUUGGGCUUCACGCAUGCUACAAUGGCCGGUACAAAGGGCUGCAAUACCGCGAGGUGGAGCGAAUCCCAAAAGCCGGUCUCAGUUCGGAUUGAGGUCUGCAACUCGACCCCAUGAAGUCGG